AAAUUGAAGAGUUUGAUCAUGGCUCAGAUUGAACGCUGGCGGCAGGCCUAACACAUGCAAGUCGAACGGUAACAGGAAGCAGCUUGCUGCUUCGCUGACGAGUGGCGGACGGGUGAGUAAUGUCUGGGAAACUGCCUGAUGGAGGGGGAUAACUACUGGAAACGGUGGCUAAUACCGCAUAACGUCGCAAGACCAAAGAGGGGGACCUUCGGGCCUCUUGCCAUCAGAUGUGCCCAGAUGGGAUUAGCUUGUUGGUGAGGUAACGGCUCACCAAGGCGACGAUCCCUAGCUGGUCUGAGAGGAUGACCAGCCACACUGGAACUGAGACACGGUCCAGACUCCUACGGGAGGCAGCAGUGGGGAAUAUUGCACAAUGGGCGCAAGCCUGAUGCAGCCAUGCCGCGUGUAUGAAGAAGGCCUUCGGGUUGUAAAGUACUUUCAGCGGGGAGGAAGGUGUUGCGGUUAAUAACCGCAGCAAUUGACGUUACCCGCAGAAGAAGCACCGGCUAACUCCGUGCCAGCAGCCGCGGUAAUACGGAGGGUGCAAGCGUUAAUCGGAAUUACUGGGCGUAAAGCGCACGCAGGCGGUC
Molecule: ribosomal RNA, 590 nt
Filed under: Salmonella enterica subsp. enterica serovar Infantis
Lineage: Bacteria; Pseudomonadati; Pseudomonadota; Gammaproteobacteria; Enterobacterales; Enterobacteriaceae
Also listed under: 1 other name
Description: bacterial SSU rRNA
Rfam family: Bacterial small subunit ribosomal RNA
Source: RNAcentral